Long non-coding RNA from Polistes dominula (European paper wasp), 847 nucleotides. The record is from RefSeq and is a predicted model, not a curated record. NCBI's taxonomy places the organism in Eukaryota, Metazoa, Arthropoda, Insecta, Hymenoptera, Vespidae.
AUCAAUUUAACUGUGUAUGAGUGAGGGUAGAGCUUAUGAUAGUGUGAGUUGCAACUAUAGAAAUACAUAAAACCUGUCAGCGAAAUAAAAAGAGAUAGAGCAUGGGAGGUUGAUGUUGUCUCUCUCUAAUCUGCGCUGAGCGGCGCAUGCGCAUUAGUCUGCUAGUAGAGAUUAAGAUAGAUGGUAUCAUAUACAUACGUGUAUAAGCACGACAAGUCUAAUGCGCAUGCGCCGGUACCGCAUGUGUUAGAGAGAGACACAUCAACCUUUCGUUUUUUGUUGUUAUAUUCAUGCAGAGACAUUUCCACUUACACAACCGUCUAUUGUGUUGAAGAAUGCAAUGAAUGCAUCGAAUGCAAAUUCUCUUAUAAAUUGCAACAGCUAUUUGGAUGAAAUUAAAGAAGUAUUGUAAAAAAGAGUGGGUAUCUGUAAAAAUAUAAAAGUUAUUAAAAAAUAUUAUAACGUAAUUAGUUUCUGUAAGUGAAAUGGAUAAAAGGAAUGAAUGAAAGGAAUAAAAGAAAUAUGAUAUUAAUUAGGAAGUGAAAAGAAACUAAUUACAAUUAUAAUAUUUAUGGUAAGCGGUCUUUGGCUAGUUUUUACUUGCAAUGGAAUGUAUAUUAUAUAAAAAUAUGAUAAACAUUAUAUUGAAAGUAAAAUACCAUUGCCCGGGUCUAACCACGAGGAGGUAACCGCUUCUGAAGACCCAGGAGGGAUGUGCAUCCUAAAAAUGCUCACAUCCGAAUAUCAUUCAAAGGAAUUAACCUAACUCUUAGGCCCCACCAUAAGAGUACCAUCAUAAAAAAUUCUUAGAAUUAUUAUUAAGAAUAGCAAAAAAAAAAAAUACAAA